CAGACAUGAAACAGGUGUCUGAGUGAUAUGUGUGUGUGAUAUUGUGUAGAAUUCACUUUUGUCAACACUGCUAUAGAUGAAUGUGAGUCAUGUAAACAAACAAAUCUACAUAAAGUAACUAAACAUAAGUUAUCUAUUUUAUUUGUCCAUUUGCAAUAUGGAUAAUUUAAGGAACAUUUUUGUUGGAUAAAAAGUGAGUUACAUCAGUUAUUAGUUCAACAUGUAAAUGCAGUAUAUCACAGAUAUAUGACAGAGGAGACUGACUCUUGUCUGGAUGUUACAGGAACAGAUGAGACACAUAUGUGUUUAUCUGCUGUAGAGUAACUGAUGAAGGAAUGUUGCCAUCAAAGGAUUUGUAUCUUUUGUGGUGGAGCAGGACCUGCAAGGAAAGAUGAAAAAGAGGGAAAACCUGAAACAAAAGAAUAAUGGGCCUACAAUCCCCUGAUCAACCUGGAGAAGAGAGCCUUGCUCAAGGACACACUGGUGUUCCUGUGGCUCAAGUGGUAGAGCAUUGUGUUAGCAGUGCAAGGUUUUGGGUUCGAAUACCAGGGAACACAUGUUAGGUAAAAACUGUUAGUCUGAAUGCACUGUAAGUCACUUUGGAUAAAUGUAUAAUUUAUUUAUAAAUUUGAACCACUUCAGUGGUUUAGCCCACUACAAAAGUAAUAAAUCAAUGCAUGUACUUGUAAACUCUGUGUAAAUGUUUUUCAUAUAGUCGUGCUCAUGGGGUGCAGGCACAUAAAAAAGUUUGGAGCAGACACAGCAGUCAGAUUGUCCUGCACGUGUUCCCCUGCUCUCGCUUCAAGGUUUUGUGGUUCAGAGAGCCGUCAUCAAGGUCUUCCUCAUCCUGUUGCUCAACGACAUCCCUGUUGAGAAGAGUGAGAUUGUUAAGUGCAGCAGAACUGUAUCAGCUGUGUUCAGAUCGCAGGAGGAUGUUGGUUUCACCAUCUGUAAAUACAUGAUUGUUAGAACAAUAAGUUUGAAUGAAGCUUUGUAUCAUGUGUUGUUGACUUGUGCAUGUAUGCAUUUAUUGUGAUGCUAACUUUUAUACAUUAUUUUAAUCAUUUAGACAUGUUUUUUUGUUCUCAGUAAAUAAAAUAUAAAUAUUUUAUCCAUUCAUGUAUUAAUUGCUUGACUGAAAAUGGA
Long non-coding RNA from Carassius auratus (goldfish), 1146 nucleotides. RefSeq lists it as uncharacterized. NCBI's taxonomy places the organism in Eukaryota, Metazoa, Chordata, Actinopteri, Cypriniformes, Cyprinidae. The transcript is spliced from 3 exons. The record is from RefSeq and is a predicted model, not a curated record.